CCUACGGGUGGCAGCAGUGGGGAAUAUUGGACAAUGGGGGCAACCCUGAUCCAGCCAUGCCGCGUGUGUGAAGAAGGCCCUCGGGUUGUAAAGCACUUUCAGUGAGGAAGAACGCCUGGUGGUUAAUACCCAUCAGGAAAGACAUCACUCACAGAAGAAGCACCGGCUAACUCCGUGCCAGCAGCCGCGGUAAUACGGAGGGUGCGAGCGUUAAUCGGAAUUACUGGGCGUAAAGCGCGCGUAGGUGGCUUGAUAAGCCGGUUGUGAAAGCCCCGGGCUCAACCUGGGAACGGCAUCCGGAACUGUCAAGCUAGAGUGCAGGAGAGGAAGGUAGAAUUCCCGGUGUAGCGGUGAAAUGCGUAGAGAUCGGGAGGAAGACCAGUGGCGAAGGCGGCCUUCUGGACUGACACUGACACUGAGGUGCGAAAGCGUGGGUAGCAAACAGGAUUAGAUACCCUAGUAGUC
This 465-nucleotide ribosomal RNA is filed under the name Vreelandella stevensii. RNAcentral's name for it is "partial 16S ribosomal RNA". It matches the Rfam family "Bacterial small subunit ribosomal RNA", at positions 338 to 795 of the family's 1533-position model. The record is from RNAcentral. Lineage: Bacteria; Pseudomonadati; Pseudomonadota; Gammaproteobacteria; Oceanospirillales; Halomonadaceae.